CAGCAGUAGCCGCGGGAAUACGUAGGGUGCAAGCGUUAAUCGGAAUUACUGGGCGUAAAGCGUGCGCAGGCGGUUAUAUAAGACAGAUGUGAAAUCCCCGGGCUCAACCUGGGAACUGCAUUUGUGACUGUAUAGCUAGAGUACGGCAGAGGGGGAUGGAAUUCCGCGUGUAGCAGUGAAAUGCGUAGAUAUGCGGAGGAACACCGAUGGCGAAGGCAAUCCCCUGGGCCUGUACUGACGCUCAUGCACGAAAGCGUGGGGAGCAAACAGGAUUAGAUACCCCAGUAGUCCCUGUCUCUUAUAC
Molecule: ribosomal RNA, 304 nt
Filed under: uncultured bacterium
Lineage: Bacteria
Description: partial 16S ribosomal RNA
Rfam family: Bacterial small subunit ribosomal RNA
Source: RNAcentral